Molecule: long non-coding RNA, 808 nt
Filed under: Salmo salar (Atlantic salmon)
Lineage: Eukaryota; Metazoa; Chordata; Actinopteri; Salmoniformes; Salmonidae
Description: lncRNA (ENSSSAG00000110666.1)
Source: RNAcentral
GGCCCCCCUACCUCUGAGGAAGCACAGUUCCCGCUCAGCCCAGUCAAAACUGUUCGCUGCUCUGGCACCCCAAUGGUGGAACAAGCUCCCUCACGACGCCAGGACAGCGGAGUCAGUCACCACCUUCCGGAGACACCUGAAACCCCACCUCUUUAAGGAAUACCUAGGAUAGGAUAAACCAGCCAGCCAGGUAGAAAAAUGGCAGAAAAAUAAAAGAUGGACAUCAGAGUAUUUUUCAGUACACCAAAACGCAAAGUAAGAACCCUAGUAGCCUAAUAUCUCAAAGACUAGUUGAUAAAAUGUUCAUAAGAAAGAAAUGAAAUUCUAAUGGAAAUGUUUCACAAUGAUGUCAUUAGGCAGAGCAGGCAACAGAUGGCACACAAACAGCAGAGUUGGGGACAGAUAUGCAGGGACAGACUGGCAGAGACAGGGAGUCUCAGGGAAAAUAAUAAACACACCCAGGACAACACUUUCCCAUUGUAAGUUGAGGAUCCGAGUGCAGGUGGAAUGAUGACUUUCUGUAGGAACAAAGACUGAAAGGAAACGGAUAAUUAUUUAGUAGCUUUAAUGGUCAAACCACAUUGAACACCAUCAGCCACCACACUAGAACUGUCUGUCACUUCCUGUCACUUCCGGUAUCAAUAAAGCUUAACCCCACACAAUUAAAGCAUUGGCCAAUAGGAAAACAGAUAAUUAGUUACCAGGCAAAGAAAUAGAUAACACAGUUAUUUCCUGUAACACAGAUUUACUAUAUUUCAGCAAUGUGUAUAACUGCCAUAUAAAUUAAAUAAUUACUCAGGAAAUAAUC